RNAcentral lists this ribosomal RNA (424 nucleotides) under uncultured Flavobacterium sp. RNAcentral's name for it is "bacterial SSU rRNA". It matches the Rfam family "Bacterial small subunit ribosomal RNA", at positions 355 to 776 of the family's 1533-position model. The record is from RNAcentral. Lineage: Bacteria; Pseudomonadati; Bacteroidota; Flavobacteriia; Flavobacteriales; Flavobacteriaceae.
UGAGGAAUAUUGGGCAAUGGGCGGAAGCCUGACCCAGCCAUGCCGCGUGCAGGAAGACGGUCCUAUGGAUUGUAAACUGCUUUUAUACGGGAAGAAACACUCCCUCGUGAGGGAGCUUGACGGUACCGUAAGAAUAAGGAUCGGCUAACUCCGUGCCAGCAGCCGCGGUAAUACGGAGGAUCCAAGCGUUAUCCGGAAUCAUUGGGUUUAAAGGGUCCGUAGGCGGCCUUAUAAGUCAGUGGUGAAAUCUCCCAGCUCAACUGGGAAACUGCCAUUGAUACUGUAGGGCUUGAAUGCUUAGGAAGUAACUAGAAUAUGUAGUGUAGCGGUGAAAUGCUUAGAUAUUACAUGGAAUACCAAUUGCGAAGGCAGGUUACUACUAAGUGAUUGACGCUGAUGGACGAAAGCGUGGGGAGCGAACAGG